UACGUAGGUGGCAAGCGUUGUCCGGAUUUAUUGGGCUUAAAGGGUGCGUAGGCGGCCCUGUAAGUCAGUGGUGAAAUAUCCCAGCUUAACUGGGAGGGUGGCAUUGAUACUGCGGGGCUAGAGUACAGAUGAGGUAGGCGGAAUUGACGGUGUAGCGGUGAAAUGCUUAGAUAUCGUCAAGAACACCUAUAGCGAAGGCAGCUUACUAGGCUGUAACUGACGCUGAGGCACGAAAGUGUGGGGAGCAAACAGG
Molecule: ribosomal RNA, 253 nt
Filed under: uncultured bacterium
Lineage: Bacteria
Description: partial 16S ribosomal RNA
Rfam family: Bacterial small subunit ribosomal RNA
Source: RNAcentral